This 75-nucleotide transfer RNA is filed under the name Clostridiales bacterium. RNAcentral's name for it is "tRNA-Gly". It matches the Rfam family "tRNA". From Rfam's summary of the family: Transfer RNA (tRNA) molecules are approximately 80 nucleotides in length. Their secondary structure includes four short double-helical elements and three loops (D, anti-codon, and T loops). The record is from RNAcentral. Lineage: Bacteria; Bacillati; Bacillota; Clostridia; Eubacteriales.
GCGAGUGUAAUUCAAUGGUUAGAAUCUCGGUCUUCCAAACCGGCUAUGAGAGUUCGAUUCUCUCUACUCGCUCCA